CACUGGGUCCCUGGCGGCGGAAGCCGUCGAACCGUGUCAGGUCCGGAAGGAAGCAGCACUAAGAUGUCUCUUCCGGGUGCCCAGGAUCACCUGGUCGGUC
Molecule: signal recognition particle RNA, 100 nt
Filed under: Promineifilum breve (SeqCode)
Lineage: Bacteria; Bacillati; Chloroflexota; Ardenticatenia; Promineifilales (SeqCode); Promineifilaceae (SeqCode)
Description: Candidatus Promineofilum breve SRP_bact
Rfam family: Bacterial small signal recognition particle RNA
About the family: The signal recognition particle (SRP) is a universally conserved ribonucleoprotein involved in the co-translational targeting of proteins to membranes. Archaeal SRP consists of a 7S RNA and homologues of the eukaryotic SRP19 and SRP54 proteins. In most bacteria, the SRP consists of a 4.5S RNA and the Ffh protein (a homologue of the eukaryotic SRP54 protein).
Source: RNAcentral